AGAGUUUGAUCCUGGCUCAGGACGAACGCUGGCGGCAUGCCUAAUACAUGCAAGUCGAGCGAACUGACGGAGGAACUUGUUCCUCUUGACGUGAGCGGCGGACGGGUGAGUAACACGUGGGAAACCUACCUUUCAGCGGGGGAUAACGUUCGGAAACGGACGCUAAUACCGCAUAACGUUAACAAUCGCAUGAUUGUUAAAUAAAAGACGGCUCUGCUGUCACCGAAAGAUGGACCCGCGGUGCAUUAGUUAGUUGGUAAGGUAACGGCUUACCAAGACGAUGAUGCAUAGCCGACCUGAGAGGGUGAUCGGCCACACUGGGACUGAGACACGGCCCAGACUCCUACGGGAGGCAGCAGUAGGGAAUCUUCCGCAAUGGACGAAAGUCUGACGGAGCAAUGCCGCGUGUAUGAAGAAGGUCUCCGGAUCGUAAAGUACUGUUAUCAGCCAAGAACAAUUCACAGAGUAACUGUUGUGGAUCUGACGGUAACUGAUCAGAAAGCCACGGCUAACUACGUGCCAGCAGCCGCGGUAAUACGUAGGUGGCAAGCGUUGUCCGGAUUUAUUGGGCGUAAAGGGAGCGCAGGCGGUGACUUAAGUCUGAUGUGAAAGCCCACGGCUCAACCGUGGAAGGUCAUUGGAAACUGGGUCACUUGAAUGGAGCAGAGGAGAACGGAAUUCCAUGUGUAGCAGUGAAAUGCGUAGAUAUAUGGAGGAACACCAGUGGCGAAGGCGGUUCUCUGGGCUCACAUUGACGCUGAGGCUCGAAAGCGUGGGGAGCGAAACAGGAUUAGAUACCCUGGUAGUCC
RNAcentral lists this ribosomal RNA (809 nucleotides) under uncultured bacterium. Its description in RNAcentral is "bacterial SSU rRNA". It matches the Rfam family "Bacterial small subunit ribosomal RNA", at positions 8 to 796 of the family's 1533-position model. The record is from RNAcentral.